Molecule: transfer RNA, 74 nt
Filed under: Desulfarculus baarsii DSM 2075
Lineage: Bacteria; Pseudomonadati; Thermodesulfobacteriota; Desulfarculia; Desulfarculales; Desulfarculaceae
Rfam family: tRNA
About the family: Transfer RNA (tRNA) molecules are approximately 80 nucleotides in length.
Source: Rfam by way of RNAcentral
AGGCCUGUGGCUCAAUUGGCUAGAGCGCCGGACUCCAAAUCCGAAGGCUGGGGGUUCGAGUCCCUCCAGGCCUG